This 468-nucleotide ribosomal RNA is filed under the name uncultured bacterium. Its description in RNAcentral is "partial 16S ribosomal RNA". It matches the Rfam family "Bacterial small subunit ribosomal RNA", at positions 28 to 507 of the family's 1533-position model. The record is from RNAcentral.
GACGAACGCUGGCGGCGUGCUUAACACAUGCAAGUCGAACGGAAAGGCCCUGCUUUUGUGGGGUGCUCGAGUGGCGAACGGGUGAGUAACACGUGAGUAACCUGCCCUUGACUUUGGGAUAACUUCAGGAAACUGGGGCUAAUACCGGAUAGGAGCUCCUGCUGCAUGGUGGGGGUUGGAAAGUUUCGGCGGUUGGGGAUGGACUCGCGGCUUAUCAGCUUGUUGGUGGGGUAGUGGCUUACCAAGGCAUUGACGGGUAGCCGGCCUGGGAGGGUGACCGGCCACAUUGGGACUAAGAUACGGCCCAGACUCCUACGGGAGGCAGCAGUGGGGAAUAUUGCACAAUGGGCGGAAGCCUGAUGCAGCAACGCCGCGUGCGGGAUGACGGCCUUCGGGUUGUAAACCGCUUUCGCCUGUGACGAAGCGUGAGUGACGGUAAUGGGUAAAGAAGCACCGGCUAACUACGUG